UACGUAGGGUGCAAGCGUUGUCCGGAAUUAUUGGGCGUAAAGAGCUCGUAGGCGGCUCAGUAAGUCAGGUGUGAAAACUCCAGGCUCAACCUGGAGACGCCACCUGAUAUUGCUGUGGCUAGAGUCCGGUAGGGGAGCAUGGAAUUCCUGGUGUAGCGGUGAAAUGCGCAGAUAUCAGGAGGAACACCAAUAGCGAAGGCAGCUCGCUGGGACGGUACUGCCGCUAAGGCGCGAAAGCGUGGGGAGCGAACAGG
This 254-nucleotide ribosomal RNA is filed under the name uncultured bacterium. RNAcentral's name for it is "partial 16S ribosomal RNA". It matches the Rfam family "Bacterial small subunit ribosomal RNA", at positions 524 to 776 of the family's 1533-position model. The record is from RNAcentral.